Molecule: ribosomal RNA, 467 nt
Filed under: uncultured bacterium
Lineage: Bacteria
Description: partial 16S ribosomal RNA
Rfam family: Bacterial small subunit ribosomal RNA
Source: RNAcentral
GAUGAACGCUGGCGGCGUGCUUAACACAUGCCAGUCGAACGGAAAGGCCCAAGCUUGCUUGGGUACUCGAGUGGCGAACGGGUGAGUAACACGUGGGUGAUCUGCCCUGCACUUCGGGAUAAGCCUGGGAAACUGGGUCUAAUACCGGAUAGGACCACUUCUUGGAUGUUGUGGUGGAAAGUUUUUUCGGUGUGGGAUGAGCUCGCGGCCUAUCAGCUUGUUGGUGGGGUAAUGGCCUACCAAGGCGUCGACGGGUAGCCGGCCUGAGAGGGUGUACGGCCACAUUGGGACUGAGAUACGGCCCAGACGCCUACGGGAGGCAGCAGUGGGGAAUAUUGCACAAUGGGCGCAAGCCUGAUGCAGCGACGCCGCGUGGGGGAUGACGGCCUUCGGGUUGUAAACUCCUUUUGCUAGGGACGAAGCGUUUUGUGACGGUACCUGGAGAAGAAGCACCGGCUAACUACGUG